RNAcentral lists this ribosomal RNA (1362 nucleotides) under Schizomida sp. WAM MRAC 221298. RNAcentral's name for it is "partial 28S ribosomal RNA". It matches the Rfam family "Eukaryotic large subunit ribosomal RNA", at positions 42 to 1699 of the family's 3401-position model. The record is from RNAcentral. Lineage: Eukaryota; Metazoa; Arthropoda; Arachnida; Schizomida.
AUAAAUAAGCGGUGGAAAAGAAACCAACAGGGAUUCCCUUAGUAGCGGCGAGCGAACAGGGAUGAGCCCAGCGCCGAAUUCCGCGUCCCAAAGGACGUUUGGAACAUGUGGCGUUUAGGAGGAAUCUCUCCGGAGGCAGACGGUGUCGCAAGUCCCCCUGAACGGGGCUGUGAUCCAGAGCGGGUGCGAGGCCCAUAGCUGGUACCGUCUCCUUCGGGUGUCACCUCCUUGGAGUCGGGUUGCUUGGGAGUGCAGCCCUAAUUGGGUGGUAAACUCCACCUAAGGCUAAAUACGUCCGUGAGACCGAUAGCAAACAAGUACCGUGAGGGAAAGUUGCAAAGAACUUUGAAGAGAGAGUUCAAGAGUACGUGAAACCGCUCAGAGGCAAACUGGUGGGCCCACGAAAGCCGAAGGCAGGGGGAUUCAGCCGAGAGGUCGUUGGGGCAAGGCUGGCUGGUUCGACGGACCGUGCCAGGCCGGGUCAGCUCCCGAGACCCUUCGCCUCUCGACGCAUUUCCCUCUGCUUAGUAGGACGCCGCAACCCGUUGGUGAACGCAGCCAUAAGGGAGAGUACCGGAAGGUAGCCAGUGAGCUCUUCUUCGGAGGUGCGAGCUGGUCCUAAGCCAACUCUCCUGGUGCUUGUGACCCGACGGUGGUCUCGAGUCCCUGAAUGGGAUGUCGCCGAGCCCUUCUAGAYCGAGCGGGAGAAGCGGCAGGCUGUUCUCCGUGACCAAAAAAACGGUUACUCCACGCGUGCAGUGGACAACCUUCGGAGUCGGCUGCUGGCACACUUUUCUCCUGCGCUGGGCACAGGCAGUUGGCGGCGAGUAGGUCGGUCACCCACCAGACCCGUCUUGAAACACGGACCAAGGAGUCUAACAUGUGCGCGAGUCAUUGGGUCUUGAACAAGCCCAAAGGCGCAAUGAAAGUGAAGACCAGCACUGAAGCUGGUGGAGUUGGGAAACCGAGUCAAUGACGUCUUGGUUGCACCAACGGCCCGUCCCGUCUGCUUUGUCAGGGGGGCGGAGCGUUGGUUGCUAUUGACAGCAGGACGGUGGCCAUGGAAGUCGGAAUCCGCUAAGGAGUGUGUAACAACUCACCUGCCGAAGCAACUAGCCCUGAAAAUGGAUGGCGCUCCAGCGUCGAGCCUAUACCCGGCCGCCGCGGCAGAGGCUGANAAGCUUAUGCCGCGGUGAGNNNNNNNNNNNNNGCAUAUUUGACGGAUAGUUCCGCCCGCUGACCGAAAGGGAAUCGGGUUAAUAUUCCCGAACCCGGACAAGGAGAUCGGCCCCUCGGGGUCAAGUGCGGUAACGCAACUGAACUCGGAGAAGUCGACGGGAGUCCCGGAGAGAGUUUUCUUUU